This 406-nucleotide unclassified non-coding RNA is filed under the name Hevea brasiliensis (rubber tree). The record is from RNAcentral. Lineage: Eukaryota; Viridiplantae; Streptophyta; Magnoliopsida; Malpighiales; Euphorbiaceae.
UUUUUUUUUAAUUUAAAUUUUUAAUUAUCACCAAUAUUGUCAAAGGCAAGCCAGGCUCUUGACUUGGUGGUGCCCAGGCAAUGUAGGUGCUGAUAAAGCCCAUCAUUUAGGUCUUGGUGAGACAACUUCAUCUAGGUACUGCAUAGAUUUGUACGUGGGCUGAGGCAUUAGUUGCCCAAGUGCUUGAUGGCUUGAGGUGCCCAGCUCAUUCACUCGAUGUUUGUUUGUUUAAUUUAUGUUUCUCUCAUUAAAUUCAGUUCUAAAUCCUGGAUUUGGGAGGCAUAUAUGACAAAGCAUGAAAUUGCAAUUAUAAAUUGCAAAAGGGAUGAAUUAUCCUUUUCCUUAGCUCUCCUUUUCCUUAGCUCCUAUUAGGGCAAAGGUACUUUCUUCCGAUCAUAAGUAGAAA